UACGGAGGGAGCUAGCGUUGUUCGGAUAUACUGGGCGUAAAGCGCACGUAGGCGGCGCCGUAAGUCAGGGGUGAAAUCCCGGAGCUCAACUCCGGAACUGCCCUUGAAACUGCAGUGCUAGAAUCUUGGAGAGGCGAGUGGAAUUCCGAGUGUAGAGGUGAAAUUCGUAGAUAUUCGGAAGGACACCAGUGGCGAAGGCGACUCGCUGGACAAGUAUUGACGCUGAGGUGCGAAAGCGUGGGGAGCAAACAGG
RNAcentral lists this ribosomal RNA (253 nucleotides) under uncultured bacterium. RNAcentral's name for it is "partial 16S ribosomal RNA". It matches the Rfam family "Bacterial small subunit ribosomal RNA", at positions 524 to 776 of the family's 1533-position model. The record is from RNAcentral.